AAAAGUUAAAUUUGUAUGCAGUUGGAACAGCGCCCCUAGCGCCAAACGUAGGCAAGCGUUCCAAUUCCAUACAAAUUUUAGUUA
Molecule: microRNA precursor, 84 nt
Filed under: Bombyx mori (domestic silkworm)
Lineage: Eukaryota; Metazoa; Arthropoda; Insecta; Lepidoptera; Bombycidae
Description: mir-2807 microRNA precursor family
Rfam family: mir-2807 microRNA precursor family
Source: Rfam by way of RNAcentral